AUGGCCGAGAGCGCCGCCGCUGCCGGGCAAUCAUCCUCGGCGAGGAAGUCUGGGGUGCCGGUGUUCGUGAUGAUGCCGCUGGACACGGUCAAGACGUGCUGCGGGAGCGGUCUGAACCACCGGAAGACCAUGGCGCGGGAUCUGGCGGCUCUCAAGAGCUCGGGCGUGGAGGGAAUCAUGGUGGACGUGUGGUGGGGCGUCGUGGAGGCCGAGGAGCCGGGGCUGUACAACUUCGAAGGGUACAUGAAGCUCGUCGAGAUGGCGCGCGAUGCCAGGCUCAAGGUCCAGGCCGUCAUGUCCUUCCACCAGUGCGGCGGCAACGUCGGCGACACCGUCAACAUCCCGCUGCCGCGGUGGGUGGUGGAGGAGAUGGACAAAGACCAGGACCUCGCCUACACUGACCAAUGCGGACGCCGCAGCUACGAGUACGUCUCACUCGGCUGCGACGACAUGCCCGUCCUCGACGGACGCACGCCCAUCCGGUGCUACACCGACUUCAUGCGCGCCUUUCGCGACCACUUCGCCGCCUUCCUCGGGGACACCGUCGUCGAAGUACAAGUCGGCAUGGGGCCGGCGGGCGAGCUACGGUACCCGUCGUACCCGGAGAGCGAAGGAACCUGGGCAUUCCCCGGCAUCGGCGCCUUCCAAUGCUACGAUAAGUAUUUGCUCAACAGCCUGAAGAUGGCAGCGGAGGCGGCGGGCAAUCCGGACUGGGGCUUGGGCGGGCCGACGGACGCCGGCGGCUACAACAGCCGGCCGGACGACACGGACUUCUUCCGCCAGGACGGCGGUGGCUGGGACUCGGGGUACGGCCAGUUCUUCAUGUCCUGGUACUCGCGGAUGCUCCUGGAGCACGGUGACCGCGUUCUGUCCGGCGCGGCGUCCGUGUUCGGCCACGAGCCCGGCGUCCAUCUAUCGGUCAAGGUCGCCGGCAUCCACUGGCACUACGACACAGAGUCGCACGCGCCGGAGCUCACGGCUGGGUACUACAACACGCGGCGCCGCGACGGGUACCUCCCGAUCGCGCGCAUGCUGGGCCGUUACGGCGCCGUGCUCAACUUCACCUGCGUGGAGAUGCGCGACCAGGAGCAGCCACGGGACGCGCGGUGCCGUCCCGAGGGCCUGGUGUGGCGUGUGGCCGCGGCCGCCCGCGAGGCCGGCGUCGGCCUGGCCGGUGAGAACGCGCUGCCCCGGUACGACGAUGCGGCGCACGACCAGGUGGUGGCCACUGCUCGGGAGGAGCGGAUGGUGGCGUUCACGUACCUCCGCAUGGGCCUCGACCUGUUCCAGCCCGACAACUGGCGCCGCUUCGCCUCAUUCGUGACACGGAUGAGCCAAGCCGGCUAG
This 1347-nucleotide ribosomal RNA is filed under the name Triticum aestivum (bread wheat). Its description in RNAcentral is "partial small subunit ribosomal RNA". Lineage: Eukaryota; Viridiplantae; Streptophyta; Magnoliopsida; Poales; Poaceae. The record is from RNAcentral.